AUUGAACGCUGGCGGCAUGCCUUACACAUGCAAGUCGAACGGCAGCACGGGAGCAAUCCUGGUGGCGAGUGGCGAACGGGUGAGUAAUAUAUCGGAACGUGCCCAGUCGUGGGGAUAACGUAGCGAAAGCUACGCUAAUACCGCAUACGAUCUAUGGAUGAAAGCGGGGGAUCGCAAGACCUCGCGCGAUUGGAGCGGCCGAUAUCAGAUUAGGUAGUUGGUGAGGUAAAGGCUCACCAAGCCGACGAUCUGUAGCUGGUCUGAGAGGACGACCAGCCACACUGGGACUGAGACACGGCCCAGACUCCUACGGGAGGCAGCAGUGGGGGAAUUUUUGGGACAAUGGGCGCAAGCCUGAUCCAGCAAUGCCGCGUGCAGGAUGAAGGCCUUCGGUUGGUAAC
Molecule: ribosomal RNA, 401 nt
Filed under: uncultured bacterium
Lineage: Bacteria
Description: bacterial SSU rRNA
Rfam family: Bacterial small subunit ribosomal RNA
Source: RNAcentral